This 520-nucleotide ribosomal RNA is filed under the name uncultured Glomus. RNAcentral's name for it is "SSU rRNA". It matches the Rfam family "Eukaryotic small subunit ribosomal RNA", at positions 569 to 1089 of the family's 1831-position model. Lineage: Eukaryota; Fungi; Glomeromycota; Glomeromycetes; Glomerales; Glomeraceae. The record is from RNAcentral.
AGCAGCCGCGGUAAUUCCAGCUCCAAUAGCGUAUAUUAAAGUUGUUGCAGUUAAAAAGCUCGUAGUUGAAUUUCGGGAUCAAUACGUCGGUCGUGCUUUCGGGUACGUACUGGCGUCAUUGGUUUCUCCUUUCUGACGAACCAUGAUGUCAUUAAUUUGGUGUUAUGGGGAGUUAGGACUGUUACUUUGAAAAAUUAGAGUGUUUAAAGCAAGCUAACGCUUGAAUACAUUAGCAUGGAAUAAUGAAAUAGGACGUUCGAUCCUAUUUUGUUGGUUUCUAGGAUUGACGUAAUGAUUAAUAGGGAUAGUUGGGGGCAUUAGUAUUCAAUUGUCAGAGGUGAAAUUCUUGGAUUUAUUGAAGACUAACUACUGCGAAAGCAUUUGCCAAGGAUGUUUUCAUUAAUCAAGAACGAAAGUUAGGGGAUCGAAGACGAUCAGAUACCGUCGUAGUCUUAACCAUAAACUAUGCCGACUAGGGAUCGGAUGAUGUUAAUUUUUUAAUGUACUCAUUCGGCGCCUU